This 1101-nucleotide ribosomal RNA is filed under the name Bacteroides sp. N54.MGS-20. RNAcentral describes it as "bacterial SSU rRNA". It matches the Rfam family "Bacterial small subunit ribosomal RNA", at positions 114 to 1220 of the family's 1533-position model. The record is from RNAcentral. Lineage: Bacteria; Pseudomonadati; Bacteroidota; Bacteroidia; Bacteroidales; Bacteroidaceae.
CACGUAUCCAACCUGCCGAUAACUCGGGGAUAGCCUUUCGAAAGAAAGAUUAAUACCCGAUGGUAUAAUUAGACCGCAUGGUCUUGUUAUUAAAGAAUUUCGGUUAUCGAUGGGGAUGCGUUCCAUUAGGCAGUUGGUGAGGUAACGGCUCACCAAACCUUCGAUGGAUAGGGGUUCUGAGAGGAAGGUCCCCCACAUUGGAACUGAGACACGGUCCAAACUCCUACGGGAGGCAGCAGUGAGGAAUAUUGGUCAAUGGGCGCAGGCCUGAACCAGCCAAGUAGCGUGAAGGAUGACUGCCCUAUGGGUUGUAAACUUCUUUUAUAUGGGAAUAAAGUUUUCCACGUGUGGAAUUUUGUAUGUACCAUAUGAAUAAGGAUCGGCUAACUCCGUGCCAGCAGCCGCGGUAAUACGGAGGAUCCGAGCGUUAUCCGGAUUUAUUGGGUUUAAAGGGAGCGUAGGUGGACAGUUAAGUCAGUUGUGAAAGUUUGCGGCUCAACCGUAAAAUUGCAGUUGAUACUGGCUGUCUUGAGUACAGUAGAGGUGGGCGGAAUUCGUGGUGUAGCGGUGAAAUGCUUAGAUAUCACGAAGAACUCCGAUUGCGAAGGCAGCUCACUGGACUGCAACUGACACUGAUGCUCGAAAGUGUGGGUAUCAAACAGGAUUAGAUACCCUGGUAGUCCACACAGUAAACGAUGAAUACUCGCUGUUUGCGAUAUACAGUAAGCGGCCAAGCGAAAGCAUUAAGUAUUCCACCUGGGGAGUACGCCGGCAACGGUGAAACUCAAAGGAAUUGACGGGGGCCCGCACAAGCGGAGGAACAUGUGGUUUAAUUCGAUGAUACGCGAGGAACCUUACCCGGGCUUAAAUUGCAUUUGAAUAUAUUGGAAACAGUAUAGCCGUAAGGCAAAUGUGAAGGUGCUGCAUGGUUGUCGUCAGCUCGUGCCGUGAGGUGUCGGCUUAAGUGCCAUAACGAGCGCAACCCUUAUCUUUAGUUACUAACAGGUCAUGCUGAGGACUCUAGAGAGACUGCCGUCGUAAGAUGUGAGGAAGGUGGGGAUGACGUCAAAUCAGCACGGCCCUUACGUCCGGGGCUACACA